This is a long non-coding RNA of Pieris brassicae (large cabbage white), 458 nucleotides long. RefSeq lists it as uncharacterized. The transcript is spliced from 4 exons. The record is from RefSeq and is a predicted model, not a curated record. NCBI's taxonomy places the organism in Eukaryota, Metazoa, Arthropoda, Insecta, Lepidoptera, Pieridae.
UCAAGACUCCAUGCGGCUGGAUUGCUUGGCGUUGCGUGGAGAUGUGGGGUGUCUCGGUAUCUUCUACCGCAUUUACCAUGGAGAGUAUUCAGAGGAGUUGUUCGGUCCUGCAGCUGAGUUUGAUUACCGACAUAAUGUGUAACAUUUACUAAAGUGACUUUGAAAGAGACGCCGCAUACCAAGCGAUUAUUCAGACAAAGUCCUUUACGGAAUUUACCUAAAGGUGGAAAAAGAUCUUUGGUAAAAGAUCUUCAUCCGAUCAAUGACUUGGAAUUCAGAUGUCAACAUACUCACCCACAGGCGUGUUAAGGGUUAUUUUCCAGGGGUCAGGGGGUCUCCAGGGGGGAAGAAUCGCAGUGUUUAAGAAACUAAAAUACCAUGCCAUGGUCUACGAAAUCAAGCGUCACGGGGACCCCUUUUUCUACGCAUAUGUUAAGUCAGCCCUCAUUCAUUCACGU